CUCACUCACCAGGCUAACAAACUAGCGCUGCUACAUCGGUGUAACAUAGCAUUUCAAGACUACAUCUGGUGCAUAAUUUGCUUAUAUGGUAAUUCUCUGGUAAUACAGAGCCUCCAAAACCUCUUCCAACAUUGGAGAGCGAGCGGAACGACUGAAUCCUGUGGCCACCUCUGUGUCCUCAGAUGUCUGGGUUUUCCAUAAGUCUGGUUGUGCUGCGUCUUGGCUCCUGGAGACUUGAGGCAUAGAAUUUGUGCUCCAUGGAUCAAAGUUCUCCUCUCCACGUGAUCCUCCACACGUGAAGAUGACAGCGCGAAUAAAUUCUCUACCACAUAACUUUACACCAUAGAAGGAGGGAUGGCCUUCAUUGCACCGAACCCUGUCAACAAGUGCCACCAAA
Molecule: long non-coding RNA, 397 nt
Organism: Periophthalmus magnuspinnatus
Lineage: Eukaryota; Metazoa; Chordata; Actinopteri; Gobiiformes; Gobiidae
Exons: 3
Source: RefSeq, a predicted model, not a curated record